This 522-nucleotide ribosomal RNA is filed under the name uncultured bacterium. RNAcentral describes it as "bacterial SSU rRNA". It matches the Rfam family "Bacterial small subunit ribosomal RNA", at positions 67 to 602 of the family's 1533-position model. The record is from RNAcentral.
CGAGAGAUGAGGAGCUUGCUCUUCAAAUCGAGUGGCGAACGGGUGAGUAACGCGUGAGGAACCUGCCUCAAAGAGGGGGACAACAGUUGGAAACGACUGCUAAUACCGCAUAAGCCCACGGCUCGGCAUCGAGCAGAGGGAAAAGGAGCAAUCCGCUUUGAGAUGGCCUCGCGUCCGAUUAGCUAGUUGGUGAGGUAACGGCCCACCAAGGCGACGAUCGGUAGCCGGACUGAGAGGUUGAACGGCCACAUUGGGACUGAGACACGGCCCAGACUCCUACGGGAGGCAGCAGUGGGGAAUAUUGCACAAUGGGGGAAACCCUGAUGCAGCGACGCCGCGUGGAGGAAGAAGGUCUUCGGAUUGUAAACUCCUGUUGUUGAGGAAGAUAAUGACGGUACUCAACAAGGAAGUGACGGCUAACUACGUGCCAGCAGCCGCGGUAAAACGUAGGUCACAAGCGUUGUCCGGAAUUACUGGGUGUAAAGGGAGCGCAGGCGGGAGAACAAGUUGGAAGUGAAAUCC